AGUGAACGCUGGCGGUAGGUCUAACACAUGCCAGUCGAACGGCAGCACAGUAAGAGCUUGCUCUUACGGGUGGCGAGUGGCGGACGGGUGAGGAAUACAUCGGAAUCUACUUUUUCGUGGGGGGUAACGUAGGGAAACUUACGCUAAUACCGCAUACGACCUACGGGUGAAAGCAGGGGAUCUUCGGACCUUGCGCGAUUGAAUGAGCCGAUGUCGGAUUAGCUAGUUGGCGGGGUAAAGGCCCACCAAGGCGACGAUCCGUAGCUGGUCUGAGAGGAUGAUCAGCCACACUGGAACUGAGACACGGUCCAGACUCCUACGGGAGGCAGCAGUGGGGAAUAUUGGACAAUGGGCGCAAGCCUGAUCCAGCCAUACCGCGUGGGUGAAGAAGGCCUUCGGGUUGUAAAGCCCUUUUGUUGGGAAAGAAAAGCAGCAGGUUAAUACCCCGCUGUUCUGACGGUACCCAAAGAAUAAGCACCGGCUAACUUCGUG
RNAcentral lists this ribosomal RNA (492 nucleotides) under uncultured bacterium. RNAcentral's name for it is "partial 16S ribosomal RNA". It matches the Rfam family "Bacterial small subunit ribosomal RNA", at positions 29 to 507 of the family's 1533-position model. The record is from RNAcentral.